UACGUAGGGUGCAAGCGUUGUCCGGAAUUAUUGGGCGUAAAGAGCUCGUAGGCGGUUUGUCGCGUCUGCUGUGAAAACUGGAGGCUCAACCUCCAGCCUGCAGUGGGUACGGGCAGACUAGAGUGCGGUAGGGGAGAUUGGAAUUCCUGGUGUAGCGGUGGAAUGCGCAGAUAUCAGGAGGAACACCGAUGGCGAAGGCAGAUCUCUGGGCCGUAACUGACGCUGAGGAGACGAAAGCAUGGGGGAGCGAACAGG
Molecule: ribosomal RNA, 255 nt
Filed under: uncultured bacterium
Lineage: Bacteria
Description: partial 16S ribosomal RNA
Rfam family: Bacterial small subunit ribosomal RNA
Source: RNAcentral